ACGGAAGGCAGCAGUGGGGAAUAUUGGGCAAUGGGCGAACGCCUGACCCAGCAACGCCGCGUGAAGGAAGAAGGUCUUCGGAUUGUAAACUUCUUUUAUGAGGGACGAAGGACGUGACGGUACCUCAUGAAUAAGCCACGGCUAACUACGUGCCAGCAGCCGCGGUAAUACGUAGGUGGCGAGCGUUAUCCGGAUUUACUGGGUGUAAAGGGCGCGUAGGCGGGGAUGCAAGUCAGAUGUGAAAUCUAUUGGCUUAACCCAUAAACUGCAUUUGAAACUGUAUUUCUUGAGUGCUGGAGAGGUAGAUGGAAUUCCUUGUGUAGCGGUGAAAUGCGUAGAUAUAAGGAAGAACACCAGUGGCGAAGGCGAUCUACUGGACAGUAACUGACGCUGAGGCGCGAAAGCGUGGGGAGCAAACAGGAUUAGAUACCCUGGUA
Molecule: ribosomal RNA, 437 nt
Filed under: uncultured Oscillospiraceae bacterium
Lineage: Bacteria; Bacillati; Bacillota; Clostridia; Eubacteriales; Oscillospiraceae
Description: partial 16S ribosomal RNA
Rfam family: Bacterial small subunit ribosomal RNA
Source: RNAcentral